AUGUCAGUGAAUUGUGUGCUUCUCUUUCAGUUACAGGGGGUUGGUGUGAUUGGAGCAUAUCAAGCUGAGCAUGAGCAUCCCUCCUUCAGGUUGGAAAUGAUUUUCUGGUGCGCACCAGAAAACUCUGGACCAAAUUGUCGAAUAUUUGAAAAUUCUUCUGCUGUCUCUUGUUACCUGACAUGGCAUUCGAUCACGCACGCCUGUUCUGCAUCGUUACACCCCAGCAGGUCUGAACCAUCUGUUCUACUGUCUCAAUUAGGCACCAAAUUAGACCUGCAACCAACAGUUUGUUGCAUUGAUAACACAAGUAGAGUCUCAGCAAUCAUCGGUUACUAG
Molecule: ribosomal RNA, 336 nt
Filed under: Triticum aestivum (bread wheat)
Lineage: Eukaryota; Viridiplantae; Streptophyta; Magnoliopsida; Poales; Poaceae
Description: partial small subunit ribosomal RNA
Source: RNAcentral